AGCGAACGCUGGCGGCAGGCUUAACACAUGCAAGUCGAGCGGGCCCUUCGGGGUCAGCGGCAGACGGGUGAGUAACGCGUGGGAACGUGCCCUUCGGUUCGGAAUAACUCAGGGAAACUUGAGCUAAUACCGGAUACGCCCUUAUGGGGAAUGGUUUACUGCCGAAGGAUCGGCCCGCGUCUGAUUAGCUAGUUGGUGAGGUUAUGGCUCACCAAGGCGACGAUCAGUAGCUGGUCUGAGAGGAUGAUCAGCCACACUGGGACUGAGACACGGCCCAGACUCCUACGGGAGGCAGCAGUGGGGAAUAGUGGACAAUGGGGGCAACCAUGAUCCAGCCAUGCCGCGUGAGUGAUGACGGCCUUAGGGUUGUAAAGCUCUUUUCUCCGGGACGAUAAUGACGGUACCGGAGGAAUAAGCCCCGGCUAACUUCGUG
Molecule: ribosomal RNA, 433 nt
Filed under: uncultured bacterium
Lineage: Bacteria
Description: partial 16S ribosomal RNA
Rfam family: Bacterial small subunit ribosomal RNA
Source: RNAcentral